UACGUAGGGGGCUAGCGUUGUCCGGAAUCAUUGGGCGUAAAGCGCGUGUAGGCGGUUCGGUAAGUCUGCUGUGAAAGUCGGGGGCUCAACCCUCGAAUGCCGGUGGAUACUGUCGGACUAGAGUGCGGAAGAGGCGAGUGGAAUUCCUGGUGUAGCGGUGGAAUGCGCAGAUAUCAGGAGGAACACCAAUGGCGAAGGCAGCUCUCUGGUACAUGAUUGACGCUGAGACGCGAAAGCGUGGGGAGCGAACAGG
Molecule: ribosomal RNA, 253 nt
Filed under: uncultured bacterium
Lineage: Bacteria
Description: partial 16S ribosomal RNA
Rfam family: Bacterial small subunit ribosomal RNA
Source: RNAcentral